AGUGAACGCUGGCGGUAGGCCUAACACAUGCAAGUCGAACGGCAGCACAGUAAGAGCUUGCUCUUACGGUUGGCGAGUGGCGGACGGGUGAGGAAUACAUCGGAAUCUACUUUUUCGUGGGGGAUAACGUAGGGAAACUUACGCUAAUACCGCAUACGACCUACGGGUGAAAGCAGGGGAUCUUCGGACCUUGCGCGAUUGAAUGAGCCGAUGCCGGAUUAGCUAGUUGGCGGGGUAAAGGCCCACCAAGGCGACGAUCCGUAGCUGGUCUGAGAGGGUGAUCAGCCACACUGGAACUGAGACACGGUCCAGACUCCUACGGGAGGCAGCAGUGGGGAAUAUUCGACAAUGGGCGCAAGCCUGAUCCAGCCAUACCGCGUGGGUGAAGAAGGCCUUCGGGUUGUAAAGCCCUUUUGUUGGGAAAGAAAAGCAGCAGGUUAAUACCCCGAUGUUCUGACGGUACCCAAAGAAUAAGCAACGGCUAACUUCGUG
This 492-nucleotide ribosomal RNA is filed under the name uncultured bacterium. Its description in RNAcentral is "partial 16S ribosomal RNA". It matches the Rfam family "Bacterial small subunit ribosomal RNA", at positions 29 to 507 of the family's 1533-position model. The record is from RNAcentral.